RNAcentral lists this unclassified non-coding RNA (197 nucleotides) under Waddlia malaysiensis. RNAcentral's name for it is "16S-23S ribosomal RNA intergenic spacer". Lineage: Bacteria; Pseudomonadati; Chlamydiota; Chlamydiia; Parachlamydiales; Waddliaceae. The record is from RNAcentral.
AGACAAAUGCGAAACGUCAAGUUUUGCGACGAGGUUGAGACAAGCGGCCUACAUUAUUUCCUUUACACUGUCAAGGCAGUGAGUUGUUAUCUUGAAAGUUUGUUAAAAGUAUCAAGUAAAGAAAAAAGUAAAUAGUAAUCAGUAAUCACUGAACUAAAUCGACGCUUGAGGAAGAAUCCUUAAGAAAACGGUAAAUU